Molecule: non-coding RNA, 1911 nt
Organism: Kogia breviceps (pygmy sperm whale)
Lineage: Eukaryota; Metazoa; Chordata; Mammalia; Artiodactyla; Physeteridae
Source: RefSeq, a predicted model, not a curated record
UGCUGCUCCGGCUCGGGCCGCACGUGCAGCCCCUUUCCGGCCCUGGUGCCCGGGGUCGCCGGAGGCCCUGACUGGGUGCCCGCCAUGGCGGCGGCUGCGGCGGAGGCGCGCGUGUUCCUGGAGGUGCGGAGACGGCUGCAGAGCGCGCUGCUGAUCCUGGGCGAUCCAAACGAAGGAGGUCUGCCCAUGGAUGUCUGCGUAACGCCGACCUCUCUCCAGUUGAAAAGGCCGGGCGGCUGCACGGAGCUCUGGCUGCCAGCAGGGGUCAGGCUUGUCCCGUCCUCCUGCCGCGGGCUGCAGCACGUGGCCGGGGACGGGCUGCACCUGCGGCUGCAGGCGCGGGCGGAAUUCUGCCCAAACCUGAUCUCGGUGUUUAAUCAAAGCCCCCAAGCCCAAGAAUGCUGUACGUUUUUCUGCCAGUCCUGCGGUGAAAUCAUCAUAAGGAACAGGAGGCUGCUGAGGCUGCUCUCCCUGCCGCACGAAAACUGGGGUGCUCUGGUGGGUGAGUGGUGUUGCCACCCCAACCCCUUUGCUAGGAAGCCGCUUCACCCACGAGAGGGGGACUGCCUCACUGGAGACUGCUUCUUCUUGGUGAACUUAAGACAUGAUUUGCAGCAGCCGAGGCCUGAAGGAGCCCCAGCGGACACGCGCUGCCUUUCUUCUGAGAACCACUUAGAAAUGAAACCAAAGGCAAAUACCAAAGUAAUUUGUAAGCGUUGCAAGGUAAUGUUGGGAGAGACUGUGUCAUCAGAAACCACUAAGUUUUAUAUGACAGAGAUCAUUAUUCAGCCAUCUGAAAGAAAUUUUCCCAUCAUACCAAGGUCUCAGUUUGUACAGAGCGUUAUAGCCCAGUGCCUGGUGGAACUCUCGUCUGCUAGAAGCACUUUUAGAUUCACUCUUCAAGGACACGACGGCAAAGUGUACAUCUUGCUAUGGCUUCUAAACUCAGACAGUUUGGUGAUUGAAGCUUUGGAAAGUUCCACAAAUAUCAAAAAAUUCCCUCUGUUGGAAGACUUAUUGAAGGCCGAUUCCAGUUCUGCCUGGAAUGCUGUCAAGGUCCUCUACCAGCCAUGCAUCAAAGGCAGGAAUGCAGAGCUCGCCAGCUCGUGGGAAAGUGACAUCAGCGUCCACUGCCUCACCCUGCCCUCUGCAACCUGCUUGGAGCUGCUGUUGAUAUUGUCAAGGAGCAAUGCCACGUUGCCUCGCUCCCUCCGCUGCAUGAAUUCCUUCCAGGCUUCCUCUGCUUUCGGUCUCGACUUCUGUUUCUGACUCUGAUCCUGGUCCAUCGAAACACGUGUGGCUUCGGAAUUUCCCAGGGGUUUGGCGUUUGCAUGUAUUUUACUUGUGGCCUUUCUGAAGAUGUAACUGCGGGAGCCGACACAUCCCUCUCCACAGCAUGGGGUGCUCCGGCAGCCAGCCGUCGGCCCAGUGGGCAACAAUUACAGAGACAAGAACCCAGCUACAGAGAACAGGGCAUUGCAUUUUUGAGUUUCCUUGCCUGCAUAUAUUCUCUAAGAGGAGAGAAAACUUGAAACCUUUGAAAAACCAAGGCUGUGAAGAAAGUCAUAGUAGCAGGUUGAGAGAUGAGUAUAGAAUUUACGUCUCUAUUUCCCACCGAGAGGAGUAUUCAAAUAUAUGCUGUGUCAGCACCACCUGGAGAGACAGAGAGAGAGCUGAUUGAGACCCAUCUGUCCUGUGCAGAAUGCAGCAAGGGGCUUCAUUGGUGGAACUGAAUGUUAGCUGCUGCAAAUCGUAGGACAUAAACUUUCAGAGGACUUCGCAGGCUCGUAUAAAAACACGUUUUAAAAGAAAAUAUGGGAUUUUGUAUACCUUAUUCAGAGGGGAUGCUCAGUAAAUAAAUGUUCGUUGAAUGCAUGAUUAUCAAAUUAAAGGGUUUCCCAUUUGUGCAAA